Molecule: long non-coding RNA, 1082 nt
Organism: Ctenopharyngodon idella (grass carp)
Lineage: Eukaryota; Metazoa; Chordata; Actinopteri; Cypriniformes; Xenocyprididae
Exons: 2
Source: RefSeq, a predicted model, not a curated record
ACUUCAUCCCCUGGUUGAGAAAAAACUACACCACAUCAGUUGUGCUGAUGAACUAAGUUCCUCCGUGUUCACAUCACCGGGGACCACACAUGGCCCAUCCACACUGAUGCUGUGCUAAAGAAGGCUCAUCAGUGUCUUUUCUUCCUUAUGGCUAUCAGGCAUCCUGUCAGGAUGUCUAGCUGAGGAAGUUCAGUGUGAGCCCCAAAACCAAAAAUCAUUACUCUUACAGCACAGGAGGAACUAAGUCUAAGUAAGACUGUGGAGAACAUCCUGUCUGGCUGGAUCCCUGCCUGGUAUAGGAACAGCACCACCUUCAACUGCAAAGCUUUGCAGAGAGUGAUAAGAACUGCACAGAACAUUGUUAGAGGUGAGCUUCCCUCCCUCCAGGACAUCUACACCAGGUGGUGUGUAAGGAAAGCAUGGAGGAACAUCAGAGACUCCAGCCACCCGAGCCAUGGACAGCUCUCACCGUUACCAUCAGGCAGAUGUUAUCGCAAAACCUGCACCAGCAGACUGCGAGACAAGUUCUUUCCACAGAGACAUGGAAGAAGAUGAUUAUGUUAGGGACAUGGAUAAGCAAGCAAGAGGAAGAAAACCUGGAGAGCUCUCAUGAUAGGGAAACUGGAUGUGAUUCUGUGUUUCUCAAGACAUUUCACCAUGCAUGCAUUUGUGUGGCUUCAUCAUUUGGGAACUGAUUAAUAUAAUAUGGGUUUUAACAUAACCCAUUUUUAUUUCUCUUGAAUAUCAUUUGUCUUUAUAUGCUACUUUAGCUGUAUUUAUGCUGUAUUUUCCAGUAAAGUGUUGUACAUAGUGUUAGAUAAUAAAGUAUGGUGAAUAUUCUGUAUUAAGGAUGGUGUUUGGUAAAUACACAAUUUGAUUUUGUGAAAAAUACAUAAUUAUCAUGAUUGUUUUAAUUGAGACUGAAUGGCACAUUGGCCUAGUCUUACUAGUCUUACUGAAUGGCACAUUGGCCUUGUUGAAUAGUACAAUGAAGUGUCAAUGUGUAUUGCUUGUUUAAAUUGUUGUCUUUGUUUACUGUCAACACUGUGUUCUUGUUCUGAUUAAAUUAACAGAGAAGCCCA